AAGUCGUAACAAGGUUUCCGUAGGUGAACCUGCGGAAGGAUCAUUAUCGAGUUAGGGUCUUCAAUGGCCUGACCUCCAACCCUGUCGUUUAUUAUACCACGUUGCUUCGGCGGGUCCCGUCCUUUUAAUCGGGUCCGCCGGGGGGUCGCGAAGACUUCCUGGCCCGCGCCCGCCGAUGGCCCCCAAUAAAACUCUGUAUAAUCCAUGUUUGUCUGAGUUCUUAAAUUAAAUUAAAACAAAA
This 241-nucleotide unclassified non-coding RNA is filed under the name plant metagenome. RNAcentral describes it as "partial contains small subunit ribosomal RNA and internal transcribed spacer 1". The stretch from base 1 to 46 matches the Rfam family "Eukaryotic small subunit ribosomal RNA", at positions 1786 to 1831 of the family's 1831-position model. The record is from RNAcentral.